UGAGGAUACAACAUCAGUUGAGUUUGCGUCUGUUGCAAUUUGGCCUAGGUUGACCCUCAUUUUGGCUUAAAGUGACUGGACUACCAGCUCUGUCAACACAGAGCAGCCAG
Sander lucioperca (pikeperch) is the source of this 110-nucleotide long non-coding RNA. RefSeq lists it as uncharacterized. The transcript has 3 exons. The record is from RefSeq and is a predicted model, not a curated record. Lineage: Eukaryota; Metazoa; Chordata; Actinopteri; Perciformes; Percidae.